This 492-nucleotide ribosomal RNA is filed under the name uncultured bacterium. Its description in RNAcentral is "partial 16S ribosomal RNA". It matches the Rfam family "Bacterial small subunit ribosomal RNA", at positions 29 to 507 of the family's 1533-position model. The record is from RNAcentral.
AGCGAACGCUGGCGGUAGGCCUAACACAUGCAAGUCGAACGGCAGCACAGUAAGAGCUUGCUCUUACGGGUGGCGAGUGGCGGACGGGUGAGGAAUACAUCGGAAUCUACUUUUUCGUGGGGGAUAACGUAGGGAAACUUACGCUAAUACCGCAUACGACCUACGGGUGAAAGCAGGGGAUCUUCGGACCUUGCGCGGUUGAAUGAGCCGAUGUCGGAUUAGCUAGUUGGCGGGGUAAAGGCCCACCAAGGCGACGAUCCGUAGCUGGUCUGAGAGGAUGAUCAGCCACACUGGAACUGAGACACGGUCCAGACUCCUACGGGAGGCAGCAGUGGGGAAUAUUGGACAAUGGGCGAAAGCCUGAUCCAGCAAUACCGCGUGGGUGAAGAAGGCCUUCGGGUUGUAAAGCCCUUUUGUUGGGAAAGAAAAGCAGCAGGUUAAUACCCCGCUGUUAUGACGGUACCCAAAGAAUAAGCACCGGCUAACUUCGUG